UCCUUGAUCAGUCUUAUCUCUUUCAGCAGCUCCUUUGAUUAGGAAGGAGCUGAUAUCCAAAGAAAUGUGCAUCAUUUGUUUUUUACUCCUUUUGAUUUGGAACGUGAUGAAACAUAGAUGACACAACUUGUUCAUAUUAUAGUACAAAACAAUGGAUAUAUAGUUUGGAGCCACACCGAAAGAGCUUUUGAUCAAUCUUUUACGAGUGACUGUUGACAUCAUUCUUCACUGGUCACUUAGUUUACUACAAGUGCUGGAAUUGUUUGCAUGUACUCCACUGUACCUAAUUAAAGUAUGUCGACACCCAUCCUGGUAGUAAAUGACGUUGCAUAAUACUCUAUCAGAUCCAAAUCAUAAAUAUUUCGAUAUUAUCCAGCAGUCAUAGAUUAAAUACAAAUAAGAACAAUAGUCAUUGAUAAGAUGGGUUCAAAUGUGAAGUUGGGAUUGGAACUCUGCCUUCAAAAUCUGUAUUAGUUCGCUCUAUAUACUAAGUGAACACAUAUUCACAUAUCCCACUUAUACAUCCAUUUGAAUUUCGUGUAAAUGGAUGCCCUCAUCACCUAAAUUUGCAAGUUAGCAGUAAACCAUCCUCAUCCACCUAAAUUUGCAAGGUAGUAGUAAAUCAUCACCACACAAUAACUUGCGGACUACCUAAGCCUAAACAACACCACUGCUAGGUUUCAAAUAGGUUGAGUUGUUAUAUUCACUACACUUAAGGAAUGAUGCUCCUUAUCUCACCGUUUACAUAAUAGAGGUCUAGAGCUCCUCCGAUGUAGACCAUGACAUAAAACACAUGCAUCAUGCAACAUAGAUUUAUGCUCUGAUACCAAUUAUAAUACCCUGCUUCUAAAUGGAACUUUUAUACUCUCUUCGUAUAAAAGGGUUAAUCUUGGCAUACCAUGAUUAAAGCAGUGAGACUUAUAAGUGGCACUUACCAAUAUAAGCUCCUAUGGUACUACUAAACCACCAACACACAAUCACUUAUGGGACUUAUAAGACCAAACCACACAGCCACUAGUCUUCAAAUAAGCUGGGUAUUAUAAUUACAAACAUGAAAUUGGGUUUAUUUUAUUUUAUUAAUGUAACUUCUAUAUGAAAAUUUUUAAAACGUAAUGUUUAACAAUUCUAUAAACAGGCUAAUGAAAAAGAAGUGAGAAGCUUAAGCCUGUAAUCACUCCAAACUUAAUAAAUGAGCAUGAUUGGGCGCGAAGGGUGAUUGACAGUUAGAUGAGAACAAGUUUAAAUAUAAAGUGAUUGGUUGGAGUAUAAAGUUUUUAAUUGCAUGAACUUCUUGCCCGUUUUACUAAUUAAUGGAACUUUGGGAGCUAAUUUGUUGAAUAAGAACAUCUCAAAGGAACCCAAGCUGGAAAGUGCCAUCCCACUAGUCUCACUCAUACUCAUGUAGCAACAUAUUAUUUUGCAUCCAGAUUAAAGGCAUCAAAUGAAAAUUAUUUUUACCUUCUUAAUAGGAUCACUACGCCAGAACGGCACACCUGUGACGGAAUACCACUGACGGGCCAAUGGCCCGGUCAGAGUUAUCCAUCACCUCUGACGGGUUGUAACCACAUCCAUCACAGGUGUGGCAUCCUGCCGCGGCCUGAGCUAGGCCUAGCAGCGGCCCGUCACUGGGGUUCGAUACCACUGACAGGCCAACGUGGAAAACCGUCACAGGUGAUAUCCCAUCACGUGUGACGGGCCGUACAACUUAAGCCGUUUCUAGUAUGCCGUCACAGGUGACGGCAUUUCCAGCUCUAAACCGUCACAGUUGACAUCCCACUACCUUUGGCGGGUAAUUCUAUAAAACCGUCUAAGGCGUGUAUUCGUGCUAUAAAUACCCCCUAACUGCCAACUGUUUUCUAUCCCGACCAGUGCACUGUUCACAGUUGGGUUGGGAGGACAAAUGGGGCGAAUUUUUGCAAAAAUUGGAGGUAAAAUAAGAUGUUUGACUUUUUUCUUUCAAUGUUUGACCAUUUGUCUUAUUCCAAAAAUAAUGGAAAUAUUUUAUAAUAUUUUUUCAAUCAAACAUCAUAUAAUAUUUCUCUAUGUUAUUUAUUGCAGAUGGAUCGGAAGUGGAUGUACCAUGUUCAUCGUUCAUCCACGGAGUAUAGGGAGGGGGUCACUGAAUUUAUUAAAUUUGCGGACAAUGACAGGAAAAGCAGGAUGAGCCUNNNNNNNNNNNNNNNNNNNNNNNNNNNNNNNNNNNGAUGAUCCCUGAUAGUUCAGAAGUGCAUUCUCAUUUGAUAAGGAGAGGAUUCAUGGAGAAUUAUACAUGUUGGAGCAAGCAUGGAGAGCAAGAGGCACCUGAUGUUGAUGUUGAUGAGAAAGUGUCGGAUCAAAAUACAGUGAACGUCGCCGCAGUUCCAGAAAGCAUGUUUGUACCGUCUUCGUUAGGUGGAGAUACCAUUGAUGUCUAUCUCAAAUAUUGCAUGACAUUGAAGACGCAGAUGACAACGACAGAGACUUUGAGAAGUUUAGUAAGUUGGUGGAAGACUGUCAAAUACCCUUGUAUGAUGGAUGUAAGUCGAAGCACACCAAGUUGUCAUGUGUGUUGGAACUCAUGAAGCUUAAGGCAAGUAAUGGAUGGUCCGACAAGAGUUUCACAUAACUUCUUGAGCUAUUAAUGGAUAUGUUGCCAGAGGGGAACAAAUUACCGUAGACAGACAUACGAAGCUAAGCAAGUGUUAUGUCCGUUGGGUCUAGAAGUCAAAAGAAUUCAUGCAUGUCCGAACGACUGUAUUUUGUAUUACAAGCAAUAUGCUGACCUGGAUGUUUGCCCUGUAUGUGGGGCUUGUAGAUACAAACGUGCAAAAACUACAGGUGAAGGAAGUAAGUCAAAGAGGAGAGAACCUGCAAAGGUUGUGUGGUAUCUCCCAAUUGCGGAGCGCAUGAAGAGAACAUUUGCGAAUAAGGAACAAACAAAGCUAGUGCGUUGGCAUGCCAAAGAACGGAAAGUCGAUGGCAAGCUAAGACACCUAGUAGGUGAUUUGAGCAGCCGUCAUAGUACUUGUGAACUAUAACCUCCCUCUCUGGUUUUGCUUCAAAAGAAAAUAUAUUAUGCUUGUCAUGCUCAUUCAAGGACCGAGACAACCUGGCAACGAUAUUGAUGUGUUUCUUGAACCAAUGAUCGAUGACUUCGCGACGCUUUGGAAUAAGGUACACGUACUUGGGACGCAUAUGCACAGGAGUAUUUCAACCUCCAUGCGAUGGUGUUUAAUACCAUCAACGAUUAUCCAGCCCUUGGCAAUCUUUCUGGCCAAACGGUCAAAGGAAAAUGGGCAUGUUUGGAGUGUAUGGAGGAAACAAGAAGCAAAUGGUUGAAGCAUUCACACAAGAUGGUCUACAUGGGUCACAUGAGAUUUCUCCCACGCUAUCACUUUUAUAGGAAUAUGACAAAAUUUCAACAGCCACAGAGAUACAGCCAGACCCCCACAACAGCUAACAGGGACAGAUGUGCACAACUUAUUGAUGGGAAUAACCAACGAGUUUGGAAAAAAGAGAAAAACUAUAAAGGGAAAAGAUAAGAACACGUGGAAGAAAAAAUCAAUAUUUUGGAGACUACCAUACUGGAAGGAUCUUGACGUUCGCCACUGCAUAGAUCUGAUGCAUGUCGAGAAGAAUAUAUGUGAGAGUUUGAUGGGGUUACUGCUUAACCCUGGUAGUACAAAGGAUGGUCUCAAUGCCCGACGAGAUCUACAAGACAUGGGUGUUUGUCCUGAGCUACAUCCCGUUACCAUGGAGUCCGGCAGGGUAUACCUUCCUCCAGCUUGCUACACUCUAUCGAAAGAUGAGAAGAUGAAUUUGUUGACAUGUCUUAGUGGUAUAAAGGUUUCAUCUAGUUACUCGUCAAGAAUUAGUAGGUUCGUUUCACUGCAAGACCUGAAGCUGGUAGGAAUGAAGUCGCACGAUUGUCACGUUCUUAUCACACAGCUGUUGCCCGUUGCAAUAAGGAAUAUUUUGCCUCUAGAGGUGCGACACACGAUAAUGCGGUUGUGUUCCUUCUUCCAUGCUAUCGGCCAGAAGAUCAUUGACCCUGAGGGACUAGAUGAACUAUAGGCAGAAAUUGUGAGAACGCUAUGUCAUUUGGAGAUGUACUUUCCUCCUACUUUCUUUGAUAUAAUGAUACAUCUUCCAGUGCAUCUUGUUAGACAAACAAAGUGUUGUGGGCCUGCUUUCAUGAGGCAGAUGUAUCCGUGUGAAAGGUAUAUGGGGAUCCUAAAGGGUUUUGUACAGAACCAAUCCUACCCCGAGGGAAGCAUCGUUGAGAGUUACACCAGCGAAGAGGUCAUCGAUUUUUGUGUGGACUACCUGUCAGAAACCUCUUCAAUUGGAUUACCACGAUCUCAUCANNNNNNNNNNNNNNNUGUUGGACGGAAAAUAGUUAGGAUGGAUCGAAAGGUGUAUGACAAGGCUCAUUUCACGGUACUCACGUAUAUGACUGAGGUAGCGCCGUAUGUUGAUGAACACUUGGGAUUUCUCCGACAUGACAACCCAGGCCGAUCAGAUAGUUCGAUUAGAAACAAGCACAUGUCUUCCUUCAACGAGUGGUUUAAGAACAGAAUUGCAAUCGAGCAGAACUUGUCCAGUGAAACACUGAAUUGGUUGUCACAGGGUCCUGAAUGGAGUGCCACAACCACCUUUCACACGAUCAAGCAAGACAGUAAAUGCACAGUGCAGAACAGUGGGUUGCGCAUUGAGACCGAUAGCGACGAUGGUGGUAGGCGUGAUCAGUACUAUGGUAGAGUAGAGCAAAUAUUGGAGCUAGACUACUUGAAGUUCAAAGUCCCGUUGUUCGUUGUCGCUGGGUCGAUCUUGGCAAUGUAAAAGUUGAUACGGAAGGUUUCACCACUGUCAAUCUGGCUAACAACGCCUAUAAGGAUGAACCUUUCGUUCUCGCCAAACAAGUUGUUCAGGUCUUCCGUAUACUUGAUCCGUGUAACAAGAAGCUACAUGUUGUUCGUGAAGGCAAAAGAAGAAUUGUUGGAUUGGAUAAUAUCACAAACGAAGACGACUACAACCAUCACGUGCAUGGCAUAGGUCAAGAAAUACCUCUAGAAGAGGAGGAAGAAGAAGAUGGUGUUCAACAAGCCCGUGUUGACCAUGAGGAAGGAUUAUUUUUGUAAUUUAUGUCCACAUGCACCCGCAUAAAUGAAGUGGAUAAAUUUUUCGAUGAAUUUUGAAUUAUUAUGAUAAAUUGCAUGAAUUAUGGAUGAAUUAAGGAUUAUUUUGAUGUAGUGGAAGAAUUUUUCGAUGAAUUUAGGAUUAUUUUGAUGUAGUGGAUGAAUUUUUCGAUGAAUUUAAGAUUAUUUUGAUGUAGUGGAUUAAUUUUUCGAUGAAUUUUAAAUUAUUGUAUGAAUGGAUGAAUUUUAGAUGAAUUUACGAUUAUUUUGAUGCUGUAUGUUUUUAUUUUACUAAUUAAUUAAAAAAUAAUACACUGGGUUAACCUUCAAGAGGCCGAACCCUAGGUCAACUAGGGUCAACCUUACCUUUGACGGGUAGCAACUAUGGGCCCGUCACAGAUAUGUUUACCUGUGACGGGUUGCAACAAUAGAGCCGUCAAAGGUCCUAACAUCUUUGACGACUCCAUAUCUUCAACCUGUCAUAGGUAUGUUUACCUGUGACGGGCCCGUUGUUGGCGCCCGUCACAGAUAUCUUUGACCCUUGUUGACUUAGGGUUCGGCUCUUCAAGGUUAACCCGAGCAGUGCGUCUCUCACUGUCUCCCAAACUUCGCCGCCGCCUCCCCGCGUUCNNNNNNNNNNNNNNNNNNNNNNNNNNNNNNNNNNNNNNNNNNNNNNNNNNNNNNNNNNNNNNNNNNNNNNNNNNNNNNNNNNNNNNNNNNNNNNNNNNNNNNNNNNNNNNNNNNNNNNNNNNNNNNNNNNNNNNNNNNNNNNNNNNNNNNNNNNNNNNNNNNNNNNNNNNNNNNNNNNNNNNNNNNNNNNNNNNNNNNNNNNNNNNNNNNNNNNNNNNNNNNNNNNNNNNNNNNNNNNNNNNNNNNNNNNNNNNNNNNNNNNNNNNNNNNNNNNNNNNNNNNNNNNNNNNNNNNNNNNNNNNNNNNNNNNNNNNNNNNNNNNNNNNNNNNNNUGCCUCUUCUCCUGGACCAGGUAGGCCGCCCCCCCUUUGAUGAAUGGAUGGUUUUUUGAUGUAUGAAUGCAUUUUAGUUACUGCAUUAGAUGAAUGGAUGAUUUUUUGAUGAAUGCAGUUAGUGCAUUACAUGAAAGGAUGAAUUUUGGAUGAAUGAAUAUAUGACUUUUGGAUGAAUGGAUGCAUUUCAAUUAGUGCAUUAGAUGAAUGGAUGAAUUCUGGAUGAAUGAAUGGAUGAAUUUUAGAUAAAUGAAUGAAUGGAUGAAUUUUAGAUAAAUGAAUGAAUGGAUGAAUUUUAGAUAAAUGAAUGAAUGGAUGAAUUUUAGAUAAAUGAAUGAAUGGAUGAAUUUUAGAUAAAUGAAUGAAUGGAUGAAUUUUAGAUAAAUGAAUGAAUGGAUGAAUUUUAGAUAAAUGAAUGAAUGGAUGAAUUUUAGAUAAAUGAAUGAAUGGAUGAAUUUUAGAUAAAUGAAUGAAUGGAUGAAUUUUAGAUAAAUGAAUGAAUGGAUGAAUUUUNNNNNNNNNNNNNNNNNNNNNNNNNNNNNNNNNNNNNNNNNNNNNNNNNNNNNNNNNNNNNNNNNNNNNNNNNNNNNNNNNNNNNNNNNNNNNNNNNNNNNNNNNNNNNNNNNNNNNNNNNNNNNNNNNNNNNNNNNNNNNNNNNNNNNNUUUCGAUGGAUGAAUGGUCAGUGAUGAAUGCUCAAGAACAGAUUAGCUACACUUGAUUAUUUUGUUGGUUUUAAAGUUGCCAUUUUUUGCUCAAGAACAAAUUACCAACACUUGGUCUUUUUAGGUUUUUAUGUCGGUUGUUUUAUGCUGACAAAGAGAUUAUGUCAACUUGGUCUUUUAUAGGUUUUAAUGAUGGAUUUCUGCAUAGCUCAAGAGCAUAUUAGCUACACUUGAUUAUUUUGUUGGUUUUAAAGUUGCCAUUUUUUGCUCAAGAACAGAUUACCAACACUUGGUCUUUCUAGGUUUUCAUGUCGGCUGGGGUAUGCUGACAAACAGAUUAUGUCAACUUGGUCUUUUAUAGGUUUCAAUGACGGCUUUAUGCUUUGCUCAAGAACAAAUUAACUACACUUUAUUAUUUUUUUGGUUUUAAAGUUGCUGAUAUUUGGCUCAAGAACAAAUUAUCUACACUUGUUCUUUUUUUAAAAAAAGUUGGUUGUUUUAACGUCGCAUUUUUCCUUUAGGCAAAUAAUGGUAUUUGAUGCAUACUUUCUGAGCAAAUGUGAGGCCAUACCUUAGUACAAUCAAGUUCUAAAAAAUAUGAAAUUACAUGUUGUAACAAUGAUAGAAGGCUUGUAAGCGUUUACAGAUAAAUAGACCAUGACAACGCCCGCCGCAUCCCCGUCCGCCGCGACGCCACCGAGGCAACAGGUAGAACAUGACGAAGCCACAGAGGCGGUCAGGGCAAUUGAACCGAUGACGAAACAUCAAUACUCCAGGCACAAGAGGACACAAUUGUGGAGCCGGUCCGGGUUGGUGAUCCGUCGACGAUGACGGCGGCCGGACAACUCGAACCUCAAGGUAAAUUGUAGGACAAAUUUGCAAUACAUGACAAUUUCACAACACCAACCUCCUGUCUAUGUUACAGCUGCACCGCAGGAACAACAGAACUCGAUGUCGGGGGGACUAGUGCAAGUAGGUCGAGUAGAAACCCUCGAACACAAAACAAAUGGCCGACCACGGGGCAGGUCAUAAGAGAGGUCGAUGCUAGUGGUAGGCCCACAGCGCCGAGAAGUGUCAUAGCAAGAUGGUCUAACUGCUGCGGGGUGGCGGCACGUGACAAUUUUGGCAUCCUACACAAGGACAUAGGGAAGGUCUCGGAAGCCAAGAAGGAGCGAGCUUGGACGGCUGUGGAAAAAUGGUUCACAUUUCUGGAUGAAGCAAAAGACAGGCUUAAGCGAAAGGCAAUCUAGAAGAUGGGUAAAAGCUUGGAAGAAUUGGAAGUCCAAGCUCCUAAACGAGUACGUCAUCCCGCCCGGCAAUCGGACACCGUUCACCGAGUACCCUCAAAUUAGAGAUAUAGUGUGGGAGUAGUUCCGCUAGCUGAAGAACAUCGACGAGUUUAGGGAGUCAUGUGAGGCACAUCGCCGACUACAACAGCGGAAGGAGCACCCGCAUCGUCUGGGCACAGCCGGGUACAUUGGCAAGGAGUAGAUAUGGGCCCAAGAGGAUGCGGCCGCUGUAGCUACGAAUCUCCCCGCCCCGUUCUCGGACAUUCCAGAACGUCGAGCGCGCAACUGGGCAAGGGCAAGGGGAAAGGUCAACCCGGACGGCUCCAUCACUUUUGAGAACAAAAGUGAUGUCGUCGUCUAUCAGGACCUGGUAAGAUCGCACCUUAGCAUUAGUAAUUCACGUUAGUACGAGGUGAAUGAUUAUUAAAACCUUUCUCGCUUUUUUAUAGUUGAAUUUGGUUGCCGAACAAGCCUCACAGAGCGAGGUGGAGUCCGUGCCGAAGAUGCGCGAGGAUGACAUUCUUACGAAGGCGGAACCAAAGAACAUCCUGGCCGGACACGGGGAAUCGGCGUCGACGUGCCUGGAAACAUGCCCUGGAAACGUGCCCGGGAAACAGCUCCCAGUACAGGAAAUGGAAAGUCUCCAAGGAGGAGAGGGAAGCUCGUUUGAAGGUUGAGCUUGGCAACCAUGGACACCAAGGUGGAAGAAAGGGUUAACAAAGUCUUGGCCGACAUGAACAUACCCCGAGGCACACCACAAGUUGUUCAUCCAACUCCUCGGGCACAUCAUGACGCGAGCCCUACCCCUGGUAGGAGCAGUUGCGCAUCCACAUAGGUGACGGCCCCUGGUCUCCCUGUCGCACCACCACUAGCGGCAGUGGACAAUAUAGAGGUAAUUGAUGUUAUCCGAUCUAAAUGUACUCCAACACCUUUGCACGUUCAAAUAUUAAUUCAUAACUUUACAAAUGCAGAACGUAGCGCAAUGUGCCCUAUUGGUGAGGGUCCACCCAACUGUCGCUCAGGAAGUCGCCGAGGGCAUGGCUUUCAAACCAUCGGUGAGAAAAGGUCUAUGGCGCAGCGCUGCUAUCUGGAUACGCCAAGGUGUCCAUCGAUUCAGUAAAAGAUAAUUGGUCGGCCUAUCCACUGCCUGUGCCCCCAAUGAUGAAAUCAUGACUUUGGGUGAUGCGUGCAAGACAUUCAUACAGUAGCCUAAGGAAGACAUAGUUGUCAAGAUGAUUCCUCGUCCAAGUCGACCGACGGAGCUCACACCUCCCAAGUCUCCCAAGUCAAAGCUUUCUAUCGAGGCUCCGCGUGGACCGGCAAUGUCGUUACCGCAUUCACCGAAUGCACCUGAUAUGGAUUUGGGAGAUAUUACUAAAAACAUGUCUCCGAUCAAGACCACAAGAAAGGCCGAUAGCUCCCCACAAGUUAUCAAGGGACCACAGAAACAUGAACGCGGGGGCGCUAAAGGCAAGGGGAAGUCGAGGAGUCGACACCGGCACCCAAAAGGGGGAAGGCUGCAACUUCAGCGGGGGACACCAAAUCGAGGAAAGUCGAGAAGGCACCGGCCUAAUUUGAAUUGGGCAAGCCAUUGGUGGACGACCAUCUGUUAGUCAUGAUGGGUAUUGUUUGCAGAGAGCUACAUAAACAAUAUAUGGAGCUGAGUAAUGCCAAGCGAAAAAUGAGGGACUCAUCAAUAGUAGGACAUCAUGACCACCAGCCUUAAAUUUGGCCAAAGAGUAUGAUUUCACUGAAAUCAUCAAGGCCUUAAAUUUGGCUUGGGGCCCACAUGUGACAAAGGGUGGUAGGCACAAGGACGGCAAGAGCGAACUUUAUCAUGACACCAAGUUCGCAUGCACACAACAGAUCAGAGACCAAUGUGGGUUCCAUGUGUGCCACAUGUCAACACUUCUAAGAGCGGUAAAAGAUUUUGACCCUGAGGUUGUUGCUAAUGGCAAAGCUUAUUUCGAUAUCAACUUUAUUCUUCUAACCAUUUUAACCCCUGAUUUAUUUAACAGAAAGGUAAAGCUGACACGAAGAUUGUACCCAUCAACCCUCCCGCUAUCAGAGGAAAAGUGUGCGCCUUCAUUCUUGCCGAAUUAAUGAACAAGAAAGGACGUUUCCACACCACUUAGAUAUUUGAACUAGUCUAAUUUAGUGUGAUGUACAAAUUAUAGCUAGUUACUACUCUGAUGUGUUCUCACUCAAGGACCGUCACAGGUGUGUUACCUAUGAUGACUGCUACCUUUGGGCCCGUCACAGGUGUGUUACCUCUUAUGGGUCCUAACUGGCCUAAGGGUUCCGAAAUUGUACACCUCGGACAGGCCGACAAAUAUAUACCCGUCAGAGGUGGAAAUCACCUCAGACGGCUUUUGAGCCGUCAAAGGUGACUCCACUCACCAGUAACCACUGUUCACUGACCAUGGCCUAAACCGUCAUAGGUGAAGGUUUGGACCCGUCACUGGUAACCAUGUCCAGUGUAGUGUGUCACUCCAUUGACGUCAUAAAUAUAUUACAAAACAUAGCUCACAUUGUCUACUGUUUCUUGUAAUUUCUAAAAAUCAUUGAGCAACUAGGAGUAUUCCACAAUAUUUAGAUCGACCUGUGAUCCUCGUAAUAGAUUUUCUCUGUGUCCCUAGGAACCUAUGCCAGCAGUUGUGAAAAAUCGUCAAAUCACGUCUUUCCUCACUACAAUGUGAUAGGUAUAUACCUUUUACAUGCUAGAAUAUACUGGAAACAUUAACUCAAUUUGGAUCGAUGAUGCCGCCGGCUAGCUAUCUGAUACACAUUGAUUCAUAUGUAUGCUUCAUAUGUAUGCUAAUGAAUCUAGACGCACAUAUAAAACGUAUACAUUGGUACAUGUAUUUUUUUUUGAUAAAAGACUCAAAAGAGUCCAGCUUUUACUGAAAGCAUAUAGUAGUUUGUUGGGGUUACCAGCUUACACACCGUCGCAUACAAAAUGUUCAACAGAAGCAGACAAGUGACUGGUGGGCUAAAAGAUUACACAUCGAAAGUAUAGCCAGAAGUCUAAAAAAGCGAUAACUGGAACAACACAAAAGAUUAGCCUAUCCCAGAUCUCCCCCGAUUUAUCACAUCAUUCCUAACAUUCCAGAGUGUCCAAGCAACCCCCAUCAAUAAAGCAAUCCUAACUCUGCUAUUUUUGUUACCAGCACGACCAAUCACUUGAGUGCUAUAUGAUUCAAAGCUAUAGGGCAAAUCUAUCCAAUGAAGACCAUCUGUAAUAAUACACCAAACAAAAACAGCAAUCGGGCAUUCAAAGAUUAUAUGUUGAGCAUUUUCAGGAUUGUUGCAAAGAACACAUAAAUUUGACCCAUCCCAACCUCUCUUUCUCAGCUGAACAGCUGAUUGGAUCCUAUCCUUAGAAGCCAUCCAGCAAAAAUGUUUAAUUUUCAAAGGGCAGGGGGCAUUCAAAAUAUCAUGAAACCUGGCAUCAUUAAUACCUCUAAGAGAAAGAGCCCUGUACAUUGACCUCACAGUAUAUUUCUUGCUCUUCUCCAAUUCCCAUUGUAUAGUAUCAACCUCUACUUCUUUGGUGAAAUUGGCAAUCUCAGCCGAUAACUCUUGCCAUAGACACAGCUCUUCAACUCCAAAAGUUCUUCUGAAGGUUAAAUAGUUAAUAUUACCUAACACCUCUCUGACUAAAACAUCUUGCUAGACCAUAUUAUAAACAACUUGUAAUAUUUGACUUUGAAAGGGACAUCACCAUACCAAACAUCACUCCAGAAUCUAAUAUUUUCUCCAGUAGCACAUUUCCAACUACUCCCAAUCCAGAACCAUCUCUUAACCUGCAUCAAACCCUUCCAAAACUGGGAAGCUCCCACUCCAUUUUUACUAAAAAAAUUAUGUGAGCUAAGAUACGUUUUCCUAAGGAGGUUCAAACACAAGCUCUCUUUAACAGACAGAAUAUCAAAAAUCCAUUUAGAGAGGAGAGCAAAAUUCAUGUAUCUAGUAUCUGUAAAACCUAAACCGCCAAACUCUUUAGGAAAAGACAUAUCUCUCCAUUUGGCCAUAUGAAAUUUCCUUUUGUCACCAAUCCCUGACCAAUAAAAUCUACCUCUGAUAGAAUCUAAUUUCUGAUGAAUACCUUCAGGAAGCAGGUAACACCCCAUUGAGUAAAUAGGAAUACUAGAUAAACAGGAAUUAAUCAGAACAUCUCUUCCUCCAUAAGAGAGUGUAUCACAAUUCCAAAAACUCAGUUUUUUCUCAAUUUUCUCAGGAAUAUAGUUAAACUGGUUUUUGGAAAUUUUAUCUGGACUAAUAGGGAAACCUAGGUAAUUCAUGGGAAACUUACCUCUAGGGAAGUUGAGCAUAUUGGCAACCCUUAACUCUUCUUGGAAAGAAAGACCUACAGCAAAAACCUCACUCUUAUGAAAAUUAAUCUUUAAGCCCGACAUCUCUUCAAAGCAGUACAUUAAAAAUUUUGUAAUACCUAUCUCUUUAUCACAAAAGGGAAGAAAAAUAACAGUCUCAUCAGCAUAUUGAAGGUGGGUUAGUCCUUCAACUAGAUUAGGUACAAUCCUAGAAAGAAAACCUGACUUUUUAGCACUAUCUAGAAUUCCUGCUAAAGCAUCCCCAGCAAAGUUGAACAGGAGAGGAGACAGGGGGUCUCCCUGUCUCAACCCUCUGUAAGUACUAAAAAACCGGGUCCUCUCAUCAUUUAUUUUGAUGCAAACUUUCCCCCCUCUCCUACAAUUGUUAACCCAACCUAUCCACCUCUUAUCAAAACCUUUCUUCUCUAGCACUUCUACAACAAAAUCCCAUCUUAUCCUAUCAUAAGCUUUCUCAAAAUCAAUUUUCCAAAGUACAGCUCAUUCAAUACCUCAUGGGCCAUGACACAACCAUCCAUUAUAUAUCUACAGGUAUGAAUGCAGUUUGAGAAGAAGAGAUGAUGUUAGCAGCAACCUCAGUUAGUCUAUUUGUAAUCACCUUACUAAUUAGUUUAAAACUCUCAUUCAAAACACAGAUAGAUCUAUAUUGUUUAAUACUCGCAGCAUCCCUGAUUUUUGGUAUCAGAGUAAUAAUUCCAAAGUUUAAGCGUUUCAAAUGGAGCUCACCAUGUUGUAACAUAAUCAACAUCUCAAGAAAAUCAUCUCUAAUUUCGUUCCAAAAGGUUUUAUAAAACUGAAUAGGGAAGCCAUCAGGGCCAGGGGCAGUAUGGUUCUUGGCGUUUUUAUUACAGUGUCCAAUUCUUCUCUAGAAAAAUUUCUGGAAAUAAGAGAAAGCUCCUCCCCUGUUAAUCUGUUGUUAUCUUUCCACAUCUCUUCUUUCAGGUGAAUGGUCGACACUCCAUCAUCUUUAAACAACUCUUUAUAGAAAUUAAUGAUAUGCACUCUCAGCUCACCAGGGUCAUUUAAAAUGGUCCCAUUAUCAUCUAAGGAUUUAAUAACUCCUUUUCUUUUUCUGCCAUUAGCAAUUCUAUGGAAGUAAUUGGUAUUCCUAUCCCCAAAAAGAAUCCAUUGAGAUCCACUCCUUUUUUGCCACAUUAGUUCCUCUGUUUCAAACAUGUUUUCUAGCGCACUUUCCAAAUCAUUUCUCUCUUGCCAUUCUCCAGGUAUUAAAUCUCUCUGUGCCGCCAAUUGGUCAAGCCCAUAGAUACUGUCCUCCAACCUUUUUUUUGCAUCUCUCUGAGCUUUCCUAUUAUUUCUACUCCACCCUCUAAGAAACUUUCUAAGGGAAAAAAUUUUCAUGUUCCAAAAAUAUAAGAUAUAGGAACUAUCUCUAUCAGAGAAUUUGGAAAUUAGUAACUCUUUAAAGCCAUCUACUAGGAACCAAGCAGUUUCAAAUCUAAAAUAAGGGUUUGUUCUAUUCUCAGUAACACCAAACUCUAAAAGUAAAGGGGUAUGAUCUGAACCAAUACUGGGGAGGGAACAAAGAGAAGUCAAAGGCCACUUUUGCUCCUAGCUAGAAUUCAUCAGAACUCUAACUAAAACAACCCUCACAGGAAUGCACUGUUUAUUAGACCAGGUAAAUUUAUUACCCUGUCUGUAUACCUCUUUUAGCAUACAGGAAUUUAUAAACUCAUUGAACAUAUCCAUCAUCCCUUCAUCUAUGUUCUCAUUAGAUUUUUCAUCUAUGAAUCUGUACAUAUUAAAGUCUCCUCCAAUAAUCACAGCGCAGUUUUUCUGCUGAAUGAAGCUUUCCAAAUCAGACAGGAACACAGGUUUUAAAGAGUCAACUACUGGACCAUACACAUUAACCAACUCAAAAGAAAUAUAUGUCCCUCUUAUUAACAGACAGUUACUAACAAAAAACUCUCCAACAAAGCUCAAAGGUAUCAUUAUUAAACCCUGUCAAAAUGCCUCCUGAAGCCCCUCUAGAGGGUUUCACAACCCAAUCAAAACUUUUACUAUUAGUUAAGUGGUUAAGUUCACUAUCAAGAAAGGAUUGCUUUUUAGUUUCCUGAAUGCAAACAAUGUCAGCUCUAUUCAGAGAAAUCAACUCUUUCAAUUGCCCUAUUCUAUCUCUUUAUUUCCUAAUCCUCUAACAUUCCAGAAAAGAACUAUCAUCCUGGAGGUUUGUUUUUUUUUUGUCAACCUCUUUUUCUCUUUUCUAUUCUUGUCCCCCUUUUCAUCCUUAUCAGCUAUAUUCUCAUUUUCCUUAUCUAACAACUCUUUUUCUUGCUGGUUCUUGAAAGCUAAUUCAGCUAACUUCCCUUGUGCAAUCUCUUUAGCUCUAAUAGUAUCAAUGUUCUUAGCAAUCUCUAUCUCAUUUUGUCCCAAACAUAUGUUAGCACCUUCAGCAAUUUUAUUCAGUUCCUCAGAAUCAAAUAAUUGAAAAACAUUGAAAGGAUUAGAAAUAGUACCUGCCAGCUCCAAGUUCUUCUUCUGGGUCAGCAUCUCAGCCCUCUUGGUGACUGAAACAGCUUGAUCCCUCUGUCUCUUGCUUUGUCUAGUCGCCACUGGGGGGGGGGGGG
This 14965-nucleotide long non-coding RNA is filed under the name Oryza brachyantha (malo sina). Its description in RNAcentral is "long non-coding RNA (OBRA_LNC002840)". Lineage: Eukaryota; Viridiplantae; Streptophyta; Magnoliopsida; Poales; Poaceae. The record is from RNAcentral.